GGCUCCGUGGUGUAGUGGUUAUCACAUCUGCCUAACACGCAGAAGGUCCCGGGUUCGAAACUCGGCGGAACCU
Molecule: transfer RNA, 73 nt
Filed under: Capitella teleta
Lineage: Eukaryota; Metazoa; Annelida; Polychaeta; Capitellidae
Description: tRNA-Val for anticodon AAC
Rfam family: tRNA
About the family: Transfer RNA (tRNA) molecules are approximately 80 nucleotides in length. Their secondary structure includes four short double-helical elements and three loops (D, anti-codon, and T loops).
Source: Rfam by way of RNAcentral